CGAACAGACCUAAACUUUUCAGCCCCUACACCAAAAUUUUAUUUUAAUCCAACAUCGAGGUCGCAAUCUUUUCUAUCGAUUUGAACUCUCCAAAAAAAUUACGCUGUUAUCCCUAAGGUAAUUUACUCUUAUAAUCUCAAAAAAAGGAUCACUUACUCAUAAAUAAAUGUUUAAAUUUAAAAAAAGUUUAUUAAAUUUUUCGAUCACCCCAACCAAAUUAAUCAUCACAUAAAAAAUUAUUAAUCCUAAAAUUCCUCAAAUAAAUCUUAAUAAAACUCUAUAGGGUCUUCUCGUCUUUUAUUCUUAUUUAAGCUUUCUUACUUAAAAAUAAAAUUCUAAUAAAUUUAAAAAGAGACAGUUAUUCCCCCAUCAAACCUUUCAUACCAGCUUUCAAUUAAAAAACUAUUUAUUAUGCUACCUUUGUACGGUCAGGUUACCGCAGCCAUUUAACUACUCAUUGGGCAGGUCCGACCUUAAAUUAUAAUC
RNAcentral lists this ribosomal RNA (486 nucleotides) under Temnogastrus cf. javanus MB-2015. RNAcentral describes it as "partial 16S ribosomal RNA". Lineage: Eukaryota; Metazoa; Arthropoda; Insecta; Coleoptera; Curculionidae. The record is from RNAcentral.